UACGUAGGGGGCAAGCGUUGUCCGGAAUCAUUGGGCGUAAAGCGUGCGCAGGCGGCUUCUCAAGUCAGGGGUGAAAGCCCAGAGCUCAACUCUGGAACUGCCUUUGAGACUGAGUGGCUUGAGUACGAGAGAGGUGAGUGGAAUUCCCAGUGUAGAGGUGAAAUUCGUAGAUAUUGGGAAGAACACCGGUGGCGAAGGCGGCUCACUGGCUCGUAACUGACGCUCAUGCACGACAGCGUGGGGAUCAAACAGG
RNAcentral lists this ribosomal RNA (253 nucleotides) under uncultured bacterium. RNAcentral's name for it is "partial 16S ribosomal RNA". It matches the Rfam family "Bacterial small subunit ribosomal RNA", at positions 524 to 776 of the family's 1533-position model. The record is from RNAcentral.